CUGUAUUCAUCCUUGCAAAGUCGCAUCCCAACAAUAUCUCUCCGAGCACACUCCCUCUCUUUCUCUUCCCCUCUUUUUUGGUUUUUCCACCAUUUCUAGGGUUUCCAUUAACCGACCUAAACCCUUACCACUCUUUUGCUCUCUAGAAGCCCUCAAUCUCAUCCUCUAAAUCCUACCAAAAAAAAAAAAAAAAAAAAAUCAUCCUUUUUUACUUUCUCAAACAAAUCUCAUUCCUUUUCACUCUCUCAUUUUCCAUUUUGCUCUCCAAAAUCACCUUCCUUUGUUCAGUCCAAGCCUCUCUCUCUCUCUCUUUUUCUCCCUUGGACCCCCAGAUUCUUCACUGCACUGCUUUGUGGGCUUCUAUCCCUUCAUGGCCAAGACCAAACCUGGCAAAAAGGACCUUGACUCGUACACCAUCAAAGGCACCAACAAAGUCGUCCGACCUGGUGAUUGUGUGUUGAUGCGACCAUCGGAUUCAGAUAAGCCUCCGUACGUGGCGCGUGUUGAGAAGAUCGAAGCUGAUCACCGGAACAAUGUAAAGGUACGGGUUCGGUGGUAUUACCGGCCAGAGGAGUCGAUCGGAGGUAGGAGACAGUUCCAUGGUGCGAAAGAGCUGUUUUUGUCGGACCACUAUGAUGUUCAGAGUGCGCACACUAUUGAAGGGAAGUGUACAGUGCAUUCAUUCAAGAACUACACCAAGCUUGAGAAUGUGGGAGCUGAGGACUACUUCUGUAGGUUCGAGUACAAGGCCGCCACUGGAGGGUUCACCCCGGACCGUGUGGCCGUGUACUGUAAAUGUGAGAUGCCAUAUAACCCGGACGACCUUAUGGUGCAGUGUGAAGGAUGCAAGGACUGGUUUCAUCCCUCUUGCAUGGGUAUGACCAUUGAAGAUGCAAAAAAAUUGGAUCACUUUUUGUGUUCUGAUUGUUCAUCCGAUGAUGAUGCUAAAAGAUCUUUGAAUGCAUUUCCAGUAUCACCAUCUGUUGAGACUAAGGUGGAGCCAAAGCGCCGGAAGAGAUGACCUAUAAAUCGGGCCACAUCGAGGAGCUAUUGAUACAAGUUUAUCAGUGGCUCAGGCAUCCCGAAAUGGAGCUCUACAAUGUGAAGCUGUCUGUUGAACUGAUUGAUUCACCGGAGAAAUGACUGGAAUCGAUUAGGGAUUAAUUUGCGGCAAUUUGUAUGGUACCAACUCAUAAGUUGAUGCCAAUUUCUGUUGUUAUGAAGCUGCCUUCAGUCCACUCAUAUUUCAGUGUCAUUGGUUUGCGGAUUUACUACUAUCAGACAUUGUGAGCUUAGUUUGGAGGAUCAUAAGGAUUUGUCUUUUAGGUGUUUCUACCUGAUAGAGUGAACUUUGUACCAUUCACUUGCCUUUCCCAAUUUUUUUUUUUUUUUUAAUAAGUAAAUCGUAUAUAUAUUUUACAUGCUUAAGAUUAUUCAAUCUUUAUUCACAGCUACAAUGAAUUUUUACUA
This is an RNA transcript of Ziziphus jujuba (common jujube), 1470 nucleotides long. It is a transcript of the gene named chromatin remodeling protein EBS-like, with no coding region annotated. Lineage: Eukaryota; Viridiplantae; Streptophyta; Magnoliopsida; Rosales; Rhamnaceae. The transcript has 7 exons. The record is from RefSeq and is a predicted model, not a curated record.